UUUUUCUUUUAUGUUUUAGCACACACACUACAGUAACCAAAGUUAUAUUUCAGUUAUGAUAAAUCUAUUUAGAGCUUAACUGCGGUAUGUAUUGUAUGCUAUGCUUUCAUCCUACAGUGAAACUGAAAGAAAUACUUGAUUUUGUUAAAGCUAAGACCCAAACUGCACCAACAUCUUGAAGCAAAGUAUUUACAAAUAUUCUGACAACUCAUUUAUCUGUUUUGCCAUAAAAUUGGCUUAUACAUGAUUAAUUAUGAAAAAUAAGCACAGCACGCUUUCAUGCACUUUUACUUUGAAAUCAAGGUCACACUUUGUUUUGCAAUUCAGAAAAAAAGUAUGAAUAAUAUAAUUAACAUAUCAGAAGAUUCUUUGCAAGCAACUUUAUUUAAGCAAGCUAAACCAGGAGCUUGUGAAGUUGUUACUAUUCUAUCAUUGCAGAUGGAUCAUUUCUUAGCCCUUGUUUAUAUCCUUCAUUUUAUUUGACUAAUUCGUUGUAUUGAAAGGAUGCUUGAAGAAGCACCCCUCGUACUAAGCCAUACAACACUGAAUGAAAAUAGUAUUCAUACCUGAAAGCAUUUACAAGCCAGUUCCUGCUCUGUGGACUCAAUUUCAGCUGGGAUGCUGCUCCUUAGAAACAAUUCAGUAAUGGUGUGGUUAUACAUGGGAAACCAGUAACUUAAAGUCAUAGAAUCAUGGAAUCAUUUAGGUUGGAAAAGACUUUUAUGAUCAAGUCCAACCAUUAACCUAACACAGCCAAUUUCACCACUAAACCAUGUCCCUAAGUGACAAAUGUACGCAUCUUUUAAAUACCUGCAGGGAUGGUAACUCCACCACUUCCAAGGGCAGCCUCUUCCAAUGCUUGACAACCCUUUCAGUGAAUCUAAGCCUCCCCUGGCACAACUUGAGGCCAUUUCUUCUUGUCCUAUCACUUGUUACUUGGGAGAACAGACUGACACUCACCUCACUACAACCUCCUUUCAGGUAGCUGUAGAGAAUGAUAAGUUCUCCCCCUCAGCCUCCUUUUCUCCAGACUAAACAACCCCAGUUCCCUCAGCUGCACCUCCCAGGACUUGUGCUCUAGACCCUUUGUGAGCUUUGUUGCUCUUCCUUGGACAUACUUGAGCACCUCAAUGUCUUUUUUGUCAUGAGGGGUCCAAAACUGAACACAGUAUUUGAGGUGCAGCCUCACCAGUGCCAAUACAGACUUCCAUCACCCACCUGAAUACAUCCAGUAAGUCAUUCUGUAAAUUCUCUGCUCAAGAUAUUCAGCUGCCAAAAUAAUUUUGUGCUAAGCAUAGUAUAACAGUGUAAGAUGUGGGUCUCAGGCGUUUGGAUGUAACCACUUCAUGUGAACCAUCUUCUGCCCAUACAGCUGCUUACAAACCCUCACCAAGCCUACAUAUGUGAGUCAGUUCUGGUGAAAGAGCAAAACCACAUAUUGACAAGUCCCUUGCUUCAAAUACCGAGAAGUUAAUUUCUAGAUGCAUGCUUCUUUCACUACCGAAAAUUUACCUAGUUAUCUCAGUAACAGCCAUUUCUUAAUACUAUACUUACUACUUUCUCAAAGCACAAGAGAAAAUAUAUAUGCUUUUGACCCCAGCUACUGUUCUUUCCCUCUGCCUCAGCUGCUGCCCAGAGCCAGCCCCAAAGCCAACUGCAGGCUUGCAAAAGGACAUAUGGAUUAGGAGCUGCCUACUGUAAAGAUCUGAUCGACAAAUAAUAGCCUCCCC
RNAcentral lists this long non-coding RNA (1730 nucleotides) under Strigops habroptila (Kakapo). RNAcentral describes it as "lncRNA (ENSSHBG00005000430.1)". Lineage: Eukaryota; Metazoa; Chordata; Aves; Psittaciformes; Psittacidae. The record is from RNAcentral.